AAAAAUAUUAGUGAUGAUCGCAUAGUUCAGAUGAUUUGUGAUUACUACUGUCAUGUCUUUCGCUCCUAACUGACUGUUUUU
Small nucleolar RNA from Sitophilus oryzae (rice weevil), 81 nucleotides. RefSeq annotates it as small nucleolar RNA snR60/Z15/Z230/Z193/J17. The transcript has a single exon. Lineage: Eukaryota; Metazoa; Arthropoda; Insecta; Coleoptera; Curculionidae. The record is from RefSeq and is a predicted model, not a curated record.